CCUACGGGUGGCAGCAGUGGGGAAUAUUGGACAAUGGGGGGAACCCUGAUCCAGCCAUGCCGCGUGUGUGAAGAAGGCCCUCGGGUUGUAAAGCACUUUCAGUGAGGAAGAACGCCUGGUGGUUAAUACCCAUCAGGAAAGACAUCACUCACAGAAGAAGCACCGGCUAAUUCCGUGCCAGCAGCCGCGGUAAUACGGAGGGUGCGAGCGUUAAUCGGAAUUACUGGGCGUAAAGCGCGCGUAGGUGGCUUGAUAAGCCGGUUGUGAAAGCCCCGGGCUCAACCUGGGAACGGCAUCCGGAACUGUCAAGCUAGAGUGCAGGAGAGGAAGGUAGAAUUCCCGGUGUAGCGGUGAAAUGCGUAGAGAUCGGGAGGAAUACCAGUGGCGAAGGCGGCCUUCUGGACUGACACUGACACUGAGGUGCGAAAGCGUGGGUAGCAAACAGGAUUGGAUACCCCAGUAGUC
RNAcentral lists this ribosomal RNA (465 nucleotides) under Vreelandella stevensii. RNAcentral's name for it is "partial 16S ribosomal RNA". It matches the Rfam family "Bacterial small subunit ribosomal RNA", at positions 338 to 795 of the family's 1533-position model. The record is from RNAcentral. Lineage: Bacteria; Pseudomonadati; Pseudomonadota; Gammaproteobacteria; Oceanospirillales; Halomonadaceae.